This is an RNA transcript of Manihot esculenta (cassava), 2664 nucleotides long. It is a transcript of the gene named translation factor GUF1 homolog, mitochondrial, with no coding region annotated. The transcript is spliced from 13 exons. NCBI's taxonomy places the organism in Eukaryota, Viridiplantae, Streptophyta, Magnoliopsida, Malpighiales, Euphorbiaceae. The record is from RefSeq and is a predicted model, not a curated record.
UUCGGUUAAACUCGAGUGGCAGCUUCUUCUGUACUGCCUGCUUGCUCCAGAAACCCCAUAUGAGUUCUUUACGCAGAGUUUCAAAAACCCUAAAAUCGCCAAAAUGUCUCUCUCUUCUACAAACAUAUUCAAAAUUCACUCCAUUUCCUUCUAUGUUCAGAUUAAACGACCAUCCUUUGGAGCUGGCUCGUGCGUGUUGCUCUAAUUCGCGCCAAAAUAGCAAAGAGAACAACGUAGAUUUGAGCCAGUAUCCAGCAGAAAGGAUAAGAAACUUCUCGAUAAUCGCGCACGUUGACCAUGGCAAGUCUACGCUUGCUGACCGGCUUUUGGAGCUCACUGGAACGAUCAAGAGAGGCCAUGGCCAGCCACAGUACCUCGAUAAGUUGCAGGUAGAGAGAGAAAGGGGAAUAACUGUUAAAGCUCAGACAGCUACCAUGUUCCACAAGCACAACUUCCAUGGCCCCAAUGUUGCUGAAGCACAAGAUCCACCAACAUUUCUUCUAAACCUAAUUGAUACACCUGGUCAUGUCGAUUUCAGCUAUGAAGUAUCAAGAUCCUUAGCAGCAUGCCAGGGUGCCCUUUUGGUUGUUGAUGCUGCCCAAGGCGUUCAGGCACAAACUGUAGCUAACUUCUAUUUGGCUUUUGAAUCAAACCUGACAAUUAUACCCGUCAUAAACAAAAUAGAUCAGCCAACUGCAGAUCCUGAUGGUGUCAAAGCUCAGCUAAAAUCUAUGUUUGAUCUUGAACCUAGUGAUUGUCUUUUAACAUCUGCCAAAACAGGGCAGGGCCUUGAGAAAGUUCUUCCUGCAGUCAUAGAACGCAUCCCUCCUCCUCCUGGGCAUAGUGAUUCACCUCUGCGUAUGCUUUUGCUUGAUUCCUAUUAUGACGAAUACAAGGGAGUGAUCUGUCAUGUUGCAGUUGUGGAUGGCAUCCUGCGGAAGGGAGAUAAGAUCUCAUCUGCAGCAACUGGCAAUGCAUAUGAGAUUCUGGAUGUUGGGAUUAUGCAUCCUGAACUCACACCAACUGGAGUUCUUCUAACUGGACAAGUGGGAUAUGUGGUGAGUGGCAUGAGGUCCACCAAAGAGGCACGUGUUGGAGACACUCUAUAUCAUAGCCGAAGUGUUGUAGAACCUCUACCAGGUUUUAAGCCUGCAAAACAUAUGGUAUUCUCUGGCCUUUACCCAGCUGACGGAUCUGAUUUUGAGGCACUUAACCAUGCAAUAGAGAGACUGACAUGCAAUGAUGCAAGUGUCUCUGUUACUAAAGAGAGUAGUUCUGCACUUGGUCUGGGUUUUAGGUGUGGUUUCUUGGGCUUACUCCACAUGGAUGUUUUUCAUCAGCGGCUUGAACAGGAAUAUGGAGCUCAUGUCAUUUCUACUAUUCCAACAGUUCCAUAUAUUUUUGAGCAUUCUGAUGGAAGCAAAGUGCAAGUUCAGAAUCCUGCUGCGAUGCCCUCAAAUCCCAAGAAACGAGUUACGGCUAGUUGGGAACCUACAGUCAUAGCUACAAUUAUCAUCCCUAGUGAGUAUGUGGGGCCUGUUAUUACCCUUUGCUCUGAGCGGAGAGGGCAGCAAUUGGAGUAUUCGUUUAUUGACAGCCAACGAGCCUUUAUGAAGUAUCGCCUGCCUCUGAAGGAAAUUGUUGUUGAUUUUUACAAUGAAUUGAAGAGUAUAACAUCAGGAUAUGCAUCAUUUGACUAUGAGGAUUCGGAUUAUCAAGAAGCUGAUUUGGUGAAACUUGAUAUCCUCCUAAAUGGACAACCAGUUGAUGCUAUGGCAACCAUUGUUCACAAUUUGAAGGCACAACGAGUUGGUCGUGAACUGGUGGAGAAGCUGAAGAAGUUCAUUGAUAGGCAAAUGUUUGAGAUAACAAUACAAGCUGCAAUUGGAUCAAAGGUUAUUGCAAGGGAAACGAUUUCGGCUAUGAGAAAGAAUGUCCUUGCAAAGUGUUAUGGUGGGGAUGUUACUCGGAAAAGGAAGCUUUUGGAAAAGCAGAAGGAAGGCAAGAAGCGAAUGAAGCGUAUUGGUUCUGUUGAUAUACCGCAGGAGGCUUUUCAUCAACUUUUGAAAGUUCAAUAGAGAAAUAUAUCAAACAAUUGGCAUUUUAUGAUGGUGAAGUGUUGUGUGGAUCAUAUGAUAGAGAGAAGCCUUUAAUUUUUGCUGAGAACUAUGCUUCUCGCUGCAAUUUUUUCCUUACUAUUUCAACUAUGGGACAGUUCCAGAAUUCCAGAAAAAUAAGAAGUUACUCAGGAAAUGCCAUUCUUUUUGUAAACGAGGAAAAACAAAAGGCAGGCAUACGGGGCAUAAUUAUUCUGCCCUAGAAUUCUUCAUAGGAACUCGGGCAUCGUUUUGUGGGGAAGCUUUUCAAUUUUUGAAGCAGAACUGACCGUCUUGUUACUGAGGCAGACACUGGAGUCUGAUUGGCAAUUCCAACUUCACCUUGUUAGGUAAUCAGAACUGCACAUUUUGGAGCCCAAGCUCUAGAUCACAGGGCAUGGACAAAGGUGAAAUUUAAAUUAACGUUUGCAGACCUUUUAAAUGUCAGGUAAUUUGUGAUUUAGUCCUUCUAGUUCAGUAGAAUUUACAAACUAGUCUUUAUAUUUUUAUAAGCCAACUAAUUAGUCCUUGUAAUUUUUCAAAAGCAGGAUUUUUCAUUUCAUUCACA